GGAGAAAUUCUCAUUAGAAUGUUAUUUAUGUUAAAUCCAUUUAAAUGAUGUAAUUAGACAACGUUAUGAUCAACGACUUUAUCACCAUGUUGUUCCAUUUAUUUAAAGGAACGCUGUUUUUUUAAUGCAGCAAAAUGGCAGAUCAUCAUCAAUGAUUCACUCUGUGAGUGCUAGUGUGUGUGUGAGAGUGUGUGUGUGUGUGUGUGUGUGUGUGUGUGUGUGUGUGAGAGUGUGUGUGUGUGUGAGAGUGUGUGAGAGUGUGUGUGAGAGUGUGUGUGAGAGUGUGUGAGAGUGUGUGUGAGAGUGUGUGUGAGAGUGUGUGUGAGAGUGUGUGUGAGAGUGUGUGUGAGAGUGUGUGUGAGAGUGUGUGUGAGAGUGUGUGUGAGAGUGUGUGUGAGAGUGUGUGUGUGAGAGUGUGUGUGUGAGAGUGUGUGUGAGUGUGUGUGUGUGAGAGUGUGUGUGAGAGUGUGUGUGAGAGUGUGUGUGAGAGUGUGUGUGAGAGUGUGUGUGAGAGUGUGUGUGAGAGUGUGAGAGUGUGUGAGAGUGUGAGAGUGUGUGUGAGUGUGUGAGAGAGUUGGACGGACUUGCUUUUAGAGUUUGAUUUUUGUGUAAAAGUUGCAUACCCUUCAGAUAAAAGUAGAACACCACCAAAUACGCCAACAAUACAUUUAGCGUGUCUGUUUUUCCAGACGUCUCCGACGUCCUCAGUAACGUCAGGGUCUAUGUUAAGAUGUUCAGUAGGGUAUUUCUGUUCAAGUCCCCCAGACCUGCUCGAGAACUAUUUAAACACCAGCAUCGACAUCUACUGCAUGAAUAAGUCCAAACGGCGAGAUGGUGAGAGAACCCGGAUCUCUCGAAGGCUAAUACCGGUUCCCUUAAGUGGAGCAGAGACAGCAAACUGUAUUCUGAAGAGCUAUACGUUCGUCUCGGGAGACAGGAUGGACUCGGUUAGGGCCGAGAGUCGGCGUGCCAUGAGUGAGAAUAUGAUGGAGAAUUAGAAUCUAUGUAGAUUUGAGAUUGGGGUUGCACUCACUCACACACUCGCAUAUUCACACACACUCACAUAUUCACACACUCACAUAUUCACACACACUCACAUAUUCAUACACACUCACAUAUUCACACACACAUGCUCAUUAACUCACAUAUUCACACACGCUCACUCACUCACUCACUCACUCUCAUAUUCACACACACUCACAUAUUCACACACUCACACAUUCACACACACUCACUCGCUCACUCACUCUCAU
Molecule: long non-coding RNA, 1253 nt
Organism: Ictalurus punctatus (channel catfish)
Lineage: Eukaryota; Metazoa; Chordata; Actinopteri; Siluriformes; Ictaluridae
Source: Ensembl